Molecule: ribosomal RNA, 242 nt
Filed under: uncultured bacterium
Lineage: Bacteria
Description: partial 16S ribosomal RNA
Rfam family: Bacterial small subunit ribosomal RNA
Source: RNAcentral
GAGGUGGAGCAAAUCUCAAAAAGACCGUCCCAGUUCGGAUCGCAGGCUGCAACCCGCCUGCGUGAAGUUGGAAUCGCUAGUAAUCGCGGAUCAGCAUGCCGCGGUGAAUACGUUCCCGGGCCUUGUACACACCGCCCGUCACACCAUGAGAGUCGGGAACACCCGAAGUCCGUAGCCUAACCGCAAGGGGGGCGCGGCCGAAGGUGGGUUCGAUAAUUGGGGUGAAGUCGUAACAAGGUAAC